UCCUCCUACAAAGGCGUGUCUGUGGUUCCC
Molecule: non-coding RNA, 30 nt
Filed under: Homo sapiens (human)
Lineage: Eukaryota; Metazoa; Chordata; Mammalia; Primates; Hominidae
Source: RNAcentral